AUGGCGACGCACCACCCGGCCUCCCCGACCGGCGCCGGCGCCGGCGGCAAGUCCCCCUCCUCCUCGCCCUCGCCGCCGCCGGCCGUGCGCCUGGCGGCGUCGCAGGCGGCGGCGGUGGCGGCGAUCCAGCCCAGCUCGCCGCGCUACUUCUUCUCCUCCCUCGCCGCCUCCUCCUCGCCGCACCGCCGCAUCGCCAUCGCCGUCGACCUGUCCGACGAGUCCGCCUUCGCCGUCAAGUGGGCCGUGCAGAACUACCUGCGCCCGGGCGACGCCGUCGUGCUCCUCCACGUGCGCCCCACCUCCGUGCUCUACGGCGCCGACUGGGGCUCCAUCCCCGUCACCGUCGACGACGGCGACGAGAAGGGGGGAGGAGGCGCGGCGCCGGCGUCCGGGGACCCGGAGGAGGACGCGCGCAAGAAGCGGGAGGAGGACUUCGACGCCUUCACCUCCACCAAGUCGCAGGACCUGGCGCAGCCGCUCGUCGCCGCGCAGAUUCCCUUCAAGAUCCACAUCGUCAAGGACCACGACAUGAAGGAGCGCCUCUGCCUCGAGGCCGAGCGCCUCGGCCUCUCCGCCAUGAUCAUGGGCAGCCGCGGCUUCGGCGCCUCCCGCAGGGCAGGUAAUGGCAGGCUAGGGAGUGUCAGCGACUACUGCGUGCACCACUGCGUCUGCCCCGUGGUGGUUGUCAGAUACCCUGAUGACGCCGGAGCGUCGGGCGGUGCCGAGUCUGUGGGGGAUGAGCUAAGGACGGUGCCUGAGAACGAGGUGGUGUUCCAUGAGGCACCAGAGGGGCAGAAAGAAAACUGA
RNAcentral lists this ribosomal RNA (807 nucleotides) under Triticum aestivum (bread wheat). RNAcentral describes it as "partial small subunit ribosomal RNA". Lineage: Eukaryota; Viridiplantae; Streptophyta; Magnoliopsida; Poales; Poaceae. The record is from RNAcentral.